Molecule: ribosomal RNA, 886 nt
Filed under: uncultured bacterium
Lineage: Bacteria
Description: bacterial SSU rRNA
Rfam family: Bacterial small subunit ribosomal RNA
Source: RNAcentral
GAACGCGUCUUGGUUAUUGAUGUUAAGUGCUUGCAUUUAACUGAUUUCCAUUGAGACGAGUGGCGAACUGGUGAGUAACACGUGGGUAACCUGCCCUUGAAGUAGGGGAUAACACUUGGAAACAGGUGCUAAUACCGUAUAGCAACCAAAACCACCUGGUUUUGGUUUAAAAGAUGGCUUCGGCUAUCACUUUAGGAUGGACCCGCGGCGUAUUAGCUUGUUGGUAAGGUAACGGCCUACCAAGGCAAUGAUACGUAGCCGACCUGAGAGGGUAAUCGGCCACAUUGGGACUGAGACACGGCCCAAACUCCUACGGGAGGCAGCAGUAGGGAAUCUUCCACAAUGGACGAAAGUCUGAUGGAGCAACGCCGCGUGAGUGAUGAAGGGUUUCGGCUCGUAAAACUCUGUUGUUGGAGAAGAACAGGUGUGAGAGUAACUGUUCACAUCUUGACGGUAUCCAACCAGAAAGCCACGGCUAACUACGUGCCAGCAGCCGCGGUAAUACGUAGGUGGCAAGCGUUGUCCGGAUUUAUUGGGCGUAAAGCGAGCGCAGGCGGUUUCUUAGGUCUGAUGUGAAAGCCUUCGGCUUAACCGGAGAAGUGCAUCGGAAACCAGGAGACUUGAGUGCAGAAGAGGACAGUGGAACUCCAUGUGUAGCGGUGAAAUGCGUAGAUAUAUGGAAGAACACCAGUGGCGAAGGCGGCUGUCUGGUCUGUAACUGACGCUGAGGCUCGAAAGCAUGGGUAGCGAACAGGAUUAGAUACCCUGGUAGUCCAUGCCGUAAACGAUGAGUGCUAAGUGUUGGAGGGUUUCCGCCCUUCAGUGCUGCAGCUAACGCAUUAAGCACUCCGCCUGGGGAGUACGACCGCAAGGUUGAAACUCAAAG